GACGAACCGUGCGAACGUUGUUCGGAAUCACUGGGCUUAAAGGGCGCGUAGGCGGGCCACCCAGUCCGGGGUGAAAUCUUUCGGCUCAACCGGAAAAGGGCCUUGGAUACUGGUGGUCUGGAGGAAGGUAGGGGCAUGCGGAACUUCCGGUGGAGCGGUGAAAUGCGUUGAUAUCGGAAGGAACGCCGGUGGCGAAAGCGGCGUGCUGGACCUUUUCUGACGCUGAUGCGCGAAAGCCAGGGGAGCGAACGGG
This 253-nucleotide ribosomal RNA is filed under the name uncultured bacterium. RNAcentral describes it as "partial 16S ribosomal RNA". It matches the Rfam family "Bacterial small subunit ribosomal RNA", at positions 524 to 776 of the family's 1533-position model. The record is from RNAcentral.